GUCUGGGGCUAUACUGCUCUGAAUGCACCCAAUCUUCUUUGAUCUGGGAAGCUAAGCAGGGUUGGGCCUGGUUAGUACGCGGAUAGACGAAAGCUAGAGCACCCCAGACC
Ribosomal RNA from Bison bison bison, 110 nucleotides. The record is from Ensembl. NCBI's taxonomy places the organism in Eukaryota, Metazoa, Chordata, Mammalia, Artiodactyla, Bovidae.